CAUGCAAGUCGAACGGCAGCACGGGCUUCGGCCUGGUGGCGAGUGGCGAACGGGUGAGUAAUAUAUCGGAACGUACCCAAGAGUGGGGGAUAACGUAGCGAAAGUUACGCUAAUACCGCAUACGAUCUCUGGAUGAAAGCAGGGGACCGCAAGGCCUUGUGCUCCUGGAGCGGCCGAUAUCUGAUUAGCUAGUUGGUGAGGUAAAGGCUCACCAAGGCGACGAUCAGUAGCUGGUCUGAGAGGACGACCAGCCACACUGGAACUGAGACACGGUCCAGACUCCUACGGGAGGCAGCAGUGGGGAAUUUUGGACAAUGGGCGCAAGCCUGAUCCAGCAAUGCCGCGUGAGUGAAGAAGGCCUUCGGGUUGUAAAGCUCUUUUGUCAGGGAAGAAACGGCAGUGGCUAAUAUCUCUUGCUAAUGACGGUACCUGAAGAAUAAGCACCGGCUAACUACGUGCCAGCAGCCGCGGUAAUACGUAGGGUGCAAGCGUUAAUCGGAAUUACUGGGCGUAAAGCGUGCGCAGGCGGUUUUGUAAGUCUGUCGUGAAAGCCCCGGGCUCAACCUGGGAAUUGCGAUGGAGACUGCAAGGCUUGAAUCUGGCAGAGGGGGGUAGAAUUCCACGUGUAGCAGUGAAAUGCGUAGAGAUGUGGAGGAACACCGAUGGCGAAGGCAGCCCCCUGGGUCAAGAUUGACGCUCAUGCACGAAAGCGUGGGGAGCAAACAGGAUUAGAUACCCUGGUAGUCCACGCCCUAAACGAUGUCUACUAG
This 770-nucleotide ribosomal RNA is filed under the name Massilia sp. MJ112. RNAcentral describes it as "bacterial SSU rRNA". It matches the Rfam family "Bacterial small subunit ribosomal RNA", at positions 54 to 819 of the family's 1533-position model. Lineage: Bacteria; Pseudomonadati; Pseudomonadota; Betaproteobacteria; Burkholderiales; Oxalobacteraceae. The record is from RNAcentral.